GUGAUGGAAGUUUUUAUGUACGAUUGCCUGAUCUGAAGACAAGACUUUCGCUGCAUGCAUAUUUAAUGUAUGACGUCACCCACACAGAGUGAGAGCUCGAGGUUUUCUUUGAAAGGUUGAUGGAAAAUGUACAGAGACACUAGUCUUGUCGCAGUUAAUGCAUGCAGUACCAAAUGCUUGCUUUCUUGGAGUAUGUGCUUGAAACAAGAAUGUCCUGGAGAAAACAGACCACCACAAGAGAAGACAUACAUGUACAGUAUGGACUAUGAAGUUCUACUUAGCCUCUUCAAUGAACUGCUGUAGCUGCGACUGGGUAUCAAAACCUUGGUAUUAUAAACUUCAUAACCAGUGGCGGAGAUAUGUUGUUAGCCAGGGGGGAGGGGUCAGUGCCCCCCCCCCCCCACUUUUUCAAG
Molecule: long non-coding RNA, 413 nt
Organism: Strongylocentrotus purpuratus (purple sea urchin)
Lineage: Eukaryota; Metazoa; Echinodermata; Echinoidea; Camarodonta; Strongylocentrotidae
Exons: 3
Source: RefSeq, a predicted model, not a curated record